AGCAUAAUAUGAUUUGGGAAAGAGAGAACUACCUUUACAGGGUAGAGGUCGGGGGUUCGAACCCCUCUCGGGUCACCA
This 78-nucleotide transfer RNA is filed under the name Fictibacillus phosphorivorans. Its description in RNAcentral is "tRNA-Val". Lineage: Bacteria; Bacillati; Bacillota; Bacilli; Caryophanales; Fictibacillaceae. The record is from RNAcentral.